Long non-coding RNA from Xenia sp. Carnegie-2017, 1539 nucleotides. RefSeq lists it as uncharacterized. NCBI's taxonomy places the organism in Eukaryota, Metazoa, Cnidaria, Anthozoa, Malacalcyonacea, Xeniidae. The record is from RefSeq and is a predicted model, not a curated record. The transcript is spliced from 6 exons.
AACAACUUGCAUAAGUUGCGUUGGGAGCUUUCAUCACUGUACAUUUUGUGAGGUGUGCUCAGUUGGUCAUGAGCUGUUGGCUCUCGUAAAAGAAGAGAAACGGUUACCACAGACGUCUUUACAACAGCUAACUCGACACCUUUGCGUCUACAAGAAGACUGCAUCGAGUUAGAAACUUCUUGGUGUGAUUCUAGAGUUAAACUUUUGAACAGACUUCAACUUAGCCGAACAUGCAUACAGAUUUAUACUUUUAUUUGAAAUCAGUUCUCAGAAGCAUGUUGAUUUCGAAAGUAGCUGCAUUGGAAUAUAAAACACCGUUUCUUCGCUGGAUGAAUUUUGCGAGACUGUUGCCUUAUAAUGGUCGACUUACUUCUUAGCUGGUUGUUCUUUAGUAUGGUGGAUUGUUGGUGAUUUAUUGGCUCUGGUAACAUGGGGGGGUGCACAUUUCACUUGUAUAACUGGUGAUGUUGCAGCUAAGUGGAAAAUUGAUGUAUUGUUUCAUUGAUUGGUAAUGAACAAUUUCUCUGUUGAUAUGGUAAGGAUUAUUGUUUAUAAUAUUAGAUGCGAGGAAGUCAGUUCUGUUGUCCAUUUUUCAAUAUCUUAUAAUUAUUUAGCUUCUUGUUACAUCUUGAUCUUGUUAAACACUCUCCGCGCUUAAUCAGGUGAAGGUUGAGAACCUCAAAAAUGAGGAUGACGGUCUUUAACUCAGCGAUGAUUGUCUUUGUUGCUGAUUUUUUUGGCAUUGCGUUAAUGGAAAGUUGAAGACUAGGCGGAAGAAAGAAAUAUCCCCGAGAAAAUUCGAAGACUGGUGCAUAAAGAGCGGGAAAUGAGUGACAAUUGACAGAACUUGUGAAUUAUCUGGACAAACUGACUAAAAAAGAAUUUCCUUCCUAGAUUUACUCGUCAUUCACACAGGACUACAGUGUUCCACGUAGCUGCAACGUCACCAGAUAUACCAAUGGCAUGUGCUCCACCCAUGUUACUGGAGCUGGUGAAUCACCAGCAAUUCACCAUACUAAAGAAUAACCAGCUUAGAAGUAACUCCCACCAUAAUGUGGCGAUAUUUAUCACGAAACUAUUUGUUUCGGAACGAAAUCGUUUUUCUUCAUCGAGUACGGUUAAGCAGAAAAGAUUAAAGAAUUGAGAAAUAUUUGUGAACGAAAGAUGAAAAGAAGUAAUUCACACACACAAACCAUUUGAUGCCUAGUGAAGAUUAUUUGUUGACAGAACGAUUUUUAAUAAAUUCAAUCAUCCAGCAAUAUUUUUUUUGCUAAAAGGGAUGACCUUUUGAUGGAUAUAUAAUAUGCAGAAUUUCUAAAUAUAUAUUUGAAAAAGUAAGUUAUAGUUAUGCCAAGGAAAAUGUUUGUGGAGCAAAUUAUCAAAUCAGGUUACUUUCUUUGUUUGUUAUCUAAUUGUGACCAGGACGACUUUUUAAGUUCAAUCCGCCAGCAGUACUAUUACGUUUUGUUAAAAGGGAUGAUUAACCUGUUGUUGAAUAUAUAAUAUGUAGAAUUUCUAAUUAUAUAUUCGCCAGUUUGA